This 40-nucleotide transfer RNA is filed under the name Cycas revoluta. Its description in RNAcentral is "tRNA-Ser". The record is from RNAcentral. RNAcentral also lists the same sequence under 2 other names. Lineage: Eukaryota; Viridiplantae; Streptophyta; Cycadopsida; Cycadales; Cycadaceae.
GGAGAGAUGGCCGAGUGGUUCAUGGCUCCGGUCUUGAAAA